Long non-coding RNA from Leopardus geoffroyi (Geoffroy's cat), 885 nucleotides. RefSeq lists it as uncharacterized. NCBI's taxonomy places the organism in Eukaryota, Metazoa, Chordata, Mammalia, Carnivora, Felidae. The record is from RefSeq and is a predicted model, not a curated record. The transcript is spliced from 3 exons.
CGAGAGAAGAGUUAGAGGGGGCGUCUACGGCGGGUGCUGGCGGGCAGCCGGUCUUCGUGGUUUCAUGAAGAAGGGCUGCAGUCAGGUGGGGCCGCUGGAGGGGAGAGUGCAAGGACGCUGUCCUAAAUACUGCCCCGCAGGCAAGACGGGGGCGAGACAGUGCCAGUAGUUAGAACACGAACACACGUUGGACAACUACAGAAGAAUUAAAAAGCAAAGGUUGUCAAAAAUAGCCCAAGCCAGUUUGCUGGAGUGCCGGUAAUAGUCAAUAAAUGUUACUGCAUUUUCACUUAGUACUUGCUCAGUGCUACGCUGUGCGCAUCACGCGUCUACCUCAUUUGAUUCUCAAAACAACAGUAGAUUGGAGUGGCAUCUAGUAGCCCUACUUUGUAAUGAAGGCAAUUGAGGCCCAUAGACAUUGAGUAAUUUGCCCAACGUCACACAAUGGCUAAGAAUGUCCCAGGAUUUCGAGCCAGGCAUCUGCCUCCAGAGCCACCGAAAGUAACCGCCUAGGCAUGGAUAUGAUCAAGAAAAUUAACAAAAAGUAAAGGAAAGAUGAGGAAACUGAGGCAUUGAGAGGCUUCACAACUUAUCAAGAUCACAUGGCCAGUAUGUGAAGUAUUUGAAUCCUAGCUCCAGGCAUGCUAGCUCUAGAUGAAGAUUUUAGGCUGUGGUUCAAGGAAUCCGUCAUACUUCAGUAAUUCUGCACUCCUCAAGCCCUUGUGGGACAGCCUUGUGUGUUCAGGAUGAGCUUCUAGAACAACAGGCUUCCACGUCUUUGACAGCAGGGUAAAGAUUUUCCAUCAGCGUACACAUAAAAACAGAGUGACCUGUCCAAAAUGCUUUGAGCAAAAUAAAAAGCAUGUUGCCCAAGCACCCCAUCAA